UCGAGAAUCUUCGGCAAUGGACGCAAGUCUGACCGAGCGACGCCGCGUGCGGGAUGAAGGCCCUCGGGUUGUAAACCGCUGUCAGAGGGGAUGAAAUUUUGACAGAUCCUCAGAGGAAGUACGGGCUAAGUUCGUGCCAGCAGCCGCGGUAAGACGAACCGUACAAACGUUAUUCGGAAUCACUGGGCUUAAAGGGUGCGCAGGCGGCGCGGAAAGUUGGGUGUGAAAUCCCUCGGCUCAACCGAGGAACUGCGCCCAAAACUACCGUGCUUGAGGGAGACAGAGGUGAGCGGAACUUAGGGUGGAGCGGUGAAAUGCGUUGAUAUCCUAAGGAACACCGGUGGCGAAAGCGGCUCACUGGGUCUCUUCUGACGCUCAUGCACGAAAGCUAGGGGAGCGAACGGGAUUAGAUACCCGCGUAGUCC
This 425-nucleotide ribosomal RNA is filed under the name uncultured prokaryote. Its description in RNAcentral is "bacterial SSU rRNA". It matches the Rfam family "Bacterial small subunit ribosomal RNA", at positions 355 to 796 of the family's 1533-position model. The record is from RNAcentral.